CUCAAACACCUGAGGUCUGAGUGCUGAUGUCCCAACAAGAGGGUAAAAUGAGGACUGGGCAGUGCCAUUUCUUCAUCCGCUCAUGUUGGACUACCGGGACUCAUUAUCACUACUAUUGAGAUGCAAAUUGGAGUUACAAGACAGCAUGGGACAGGGCUAGCUGGAUGAUGAUGAAAAGAUGCUGAGACCUUCCAUGUCGUCCUGGAAAUGCUGUAUUAGGUUUUUGCUGAUUAAUUCCCCACCAG
Molecule: long non-coding RNA, 245 nt
Organism: Pygocentrus nattereri (red-bellied piranha)
Lineage: Eukaryota; Metazoa; Chordata; Actinopteri; Characiformes; Serrasalmidae
Exons: 3
Source: RefSeq, a predicted model, not a curated record